Molecule: microRNA, 21 nt
Filed under: Caenorhabditis remanei
Lineage: Eukaryota; Metazoa; Nematoda; Chromadorea; Rhabditida; Rhabditidae
Description: crm-miR-74a
Gene: crm-miR-74a
Source: miRBase by way of RNAcentral
UGGCAAGAAAUGGCAGUCCAG